CUGGCACCCUGAAAUCACUCUUGAUUUUUAUAUGCAAAAAAAAAAACAAAAUAAAAUACAAAAAAAAAUAAAAUAAAUUACAAAAAAAUACAGAAAAAAGAAGAAAUUGUUUUGUCAUAAAGGGAGAGAUAUUUACGUGUGUCUUCAACCAUCAACCACCAGCCAACGCACCAAAUCAGACAUAGAAGACCCUCGAUGUAGAAAACUGAUUGCCAUCCAAAAUUAUGAGCGAGAAUUCCCGUCAAAAGUAAUGAUAUCACUGUUCCUAGAGCAGUUCCUAUCAAAGAAAUAGGAUAUUAUAAGAAAGACACUUCUCCUAUUUACCUGCAUAAAUGAUGGACGUCAAUACACUUCUUUCAUUUGGUGGAGCCCAUUUAGAAACCAUAACAUGCAUCGCGGGAAAUGUGACACCCUGAAAAUGUAAAUCUUGAUUAAAAU
Molecule: long non-coding RNA, 438 nt
Organism: Leptopilina boulardi
Lineage: Eukaryota; Metazoa; Arthropoda; Insecta; Hymenoptera; Figitidae
Exons: 3
Source: RefSeq, a predicted model, not a curated record